CGGAUGCUGACGAGUGGCGAACGGGUGAGUAAUACAUCGGAACGUGCCCAGUAAUGGGGGAUAGCUCGGCGAAAGCCGGAUUAAUACCGCAUACGCCCUGAGGGGGAAAGUGGGGGACCGCAAGGCCUCACGUUAUUGGAGCGGCCGAUGGCUGAUUAGCUAGUUGGUAGGGUAAAGGCCUACCAAGGCGACGAUCAGUAGCUGGUCUGAGAGGACGAUCAGCCACACUGGGACUGAGACACGGCCCAGACUCCUACGGGAGGCAGCAGUGGGGAAUUUUGGACAAUGGGGGAAACCCUGAUCCAGCAAUGCCGCGUGUGCGAAGAAGGCCUUCGGGUUGUAAAGCACUUUUGUCAGGGAAGAAAUCCUUUGGGCUAAUACCCUAGGGGGAUGACGGUACCUGAAGAAUAAGCACCGGCUAACUACGUGCCAGCAGCCGCGGUAAUACGUAGGGUGCGAGCGUUAAUCGGAAUUACUGGGCGUAAAGCGUGCGCAGGCGGUUGUGUAAGACAGGUGUGAAAUCCCCGGGCUUAACCUGGGAAUUGCAUUUGUGACUGCACGACUAGAGUGUGUCAGAGGGGGGUGGAAUUCCACGUGUAGCAGUGAAAUGCGUAGAUAUGUGGAGGAACACCAAUGGCGAAGGCAGCCCCCUGGGAUAACACUGACGCUCAUGCACGA
RNAcentral lists this ribosomal RNA (678 nucleotides) under bacterium. RNAcentral describes it as "bacterial SSU rRNA". It matches the Rfam family "Bacterial small subunit ribosomal RNA", at positions 82 to 756 of the family's 1533-position model. The record is from RNAcentral.